AACGGAGUAGUGUUCAACACCGAGUACUAACUAAAGUGUUGACCGACAGCGCAUAUGAGCGAACGAAGAGAGCUCAUUACGCAAAUAAAAGUGCCAACACCAAUGACGUAGAACUGGGUGUUGAACAUUACUUAGUGGCGAACGGGUGAGUAACGCGUAGACAACCUGCCUUCUAGAUGGGGACAACACUGCGAAAGUGGUGCUAAUACCGAAUGUUGUAUUGAGCCUGCAUGGGCUCGAUACUAAAGGUGGCCUCUAUUUAUAAGCUAUCACUAGAAGAUGGGUCUGCGUCUGAUUAGCUAGUUGGUGAGGUAAUGGCUCACCAAGGCGAUGAUCAGUAGCCGGUCUGAGAGGAUGAACGGCCACACUGGGACUGAGACACGGCCCAGACUCCUACGGGAGGCAGCAGUGGGGAAUCUUCCGCAAUGGACGAAAGUCUGACGGAGCAACGCCGCGUGAGUGAAGAAGGUUUUCGGAUCGUAAAGCUCUGUCUUUGAGGACGAAUGUGUCUAAUGUGAAUAAUGUUAGAUAAUGACGGUACUCGAGGAGGAAGCCACGGCUAACUACGUGCCAGCAGCCGCGGUAAUACGUAGGUGGCAAGCGUUGUCCGGAAUUAUUGGGCGUA
Molecule: ribosomal RNA, 625 nt
Filed under: uncultured Bacillota bacterium
Lineage: Bacteria; Bacillati; Bacillota
Description: bacterial SSU rRNA
Rfam family: Bacterial small subunit ribosomal RNA
Source: RNAcentral